AUGGCAGCUUCCACCUCGCCGUGCUGCUGGCAGGACCGGCGCCUCGUGGCACCCUGGGCACUCCCACGCAGUGAUCUUUUUCCUCCGGGUGAGACAGCAGGAAGAGAGGUCUUGUCACUGCUGCCGCAGUGUAUCACGGCUGUGCUCUUUGUAGAAGAACUGAGGGUAGGCAGAAGCCAAAGGGCAGCGAUCCCACCCAAGCUCCCUCUGCUCCUGCAGGGCCUGAGAGGACCCCACAGCACAUCAGUGGUGUGCCUGUCCCCAGGUGAGUGCUGCACAGUGUGGAGCAACAACAAGCCACUUGAAGGCGUCGUGGCAAACUGGUGGUUCUCAUCCAUCUCUCUGUGAGCAGAUCGUAAGGCACCAAUUUUAUUUUCCUGCUAAGCUGCUCUACCCCAGGUUGCUGUGGGACUGCGAAGCUCUUGCAUUUAUCAGCAUUAAAUAAGAAGCAAUAAGCUCCUGGCGGCGCCGUGAAGAGCCUUCCCUUCCUGGGUAGUAAAUCUGCAGUAACUCUUACAGCUUUAUUGAGGGUUAUCAAGUGUUUAUUUAAAAGGCAUUUCUGUGCAUUCAACGUUCUUCUAAUUGGGCAGUGAGUGGUAGUGUUCUCUCUGGACACACUAUUAUUGCUGUGGUAAAAUUCUCUGUGUUUAGUCAACAGACUGUCAAUGUUGUUAACUUGCUGGGUGGAGAGAGGAAGUAGGGCCAUAUUGGCAUGUGGUUUCUUUUGCAUGGAGUUGGAACUUUAACUUAAGGAAUCAGCUUCCCCAGAGUGCUUGGAUCAUGUCCUGGGCUGUCUUGAAAAACACUGUGAGAUGUAAAAACCUGUGUAGAGAGGCAUCUUCUCCUUUGAGGAACCCUUAUGUUGUGUCUGCACGAUGUGCAAGCAGCCACACUGGUGUGCAGCACGGCUGAGAUUCAGCCCGGGUCUCUCGUCCUCAAAUAACAAGUGCUGCAGAGGAGCCCUUGCUGAAGCUGGCUCCUGCCGCUUGCUGGACCCGUGAAAUAUGAGCGUGGUCACCUGCUGUGGUAGACAGGGAGGUUAAAGAAGGUCUUUAUGGUCUGAGCUCAACACAGAAACUGUCAAUUAACAGGGUGGUUUGGAAUGGAAUCCCUUUGCAGGGACAUCCAGAAACAUGGAAAGGCAACUGGGAGGGGGUAAGCUUGUAGGUUGGCCUGCUUUAUUUGUGAAAAAAGAGUUUGUUCAUUAUUUGUUCUCCCUCUACUUUUAGUACUGGUUGUUGGGAUGAAUAAGUCAGAAGUAAGGUGGCCAAAAGAGGGAUGGAAAAGAAGUCACCCAAACUUUCCCCGUAAUGGCACAUUACAUUGGACACAAUAAAAGCAGGCUCACAUUUGGGUGAGGUGUGGCC
RNAcentral lists this long non-coding RNA (1367 nucleotides) under Anser brachyrhynchus (Pink-footed goose). RNAcentral's name for it is "lncRNA (ENSABRG00000012125.1)". The record is from RNAcentral. Lineage: Eukaryota; Metazoa; Chordata; Aves; Anseriformes; Anatidae.